AUUGAACGCUGGCGGCAGGCCUAACACAUGCAAGUCGAGCGGAUGAAGGGAGCUUGCUCCUGGAUUCAGCGGCGGACGGGUGAGUAAUGCCUAGGAAUCUGCCUGGUAGUGGGGGAUAACGUCCGGAAACGGGCGCUAAUACCGCAUACGUCCUGAGGGGGAAAGGGGGGGUUUUCCGGACCCCCGGCUACAAGUUAGCCCUAGGUCGGAUUAGCUAGUUGGUGGGGUAAAGGCCUACCAAGGCGACGAUCCGUAACUGGUCUGAGAGGAUGAUCAGUCACACUGGAACUGAGACACGGUCCAGACUCCUACGGGAGGCAGCAGUGGGGAAUAUUGGACAAUGGGCGAAAGCCUGAUCCAGCCAUGCCGCGUGUGUGAAGAAGGUCUUCGGAUUGUAAAGCACUUUAAGUUGGGAGGAAGGGCAGUAAGUUAAUACCUUGCUGUUUUGACGUUACCAACAGAAUAAGCACCGGCUAACUUCGUG
RNAcentral lists this ribosomal RNA (484 nucleotides) under uncultured bacterium. Its description in RNAcentral is "partial 16S ribosomal RNA". It matches the Rfam family "Bacterial small subunit ribosomal RNA", at positions 30 to 507 of the family's 1533-position model. The record is from RNAcentral.